UAUGCCUAUGGGGGAGGGACGAGGUGCCAAAGAAUGCAACCCUACCGCCAAGUGCUUGAGUCUGCUGAAACUGCCUUCUGAGCCCUGAGAGAUGACAGCUUCUGGCCUACGGCUCCGGGAUUAGAAAAGGAAACGAGGCUCAGACUUCCUUGAUUGGCAGGGGUGGGCAGAAUUCAGUCAGCAUGCAUUUUUAAUAUGUAUUUACAUGUACAUACUUCCAUUUGGUUGCUUGCCUUUGUUUUUUUACAGUCUGUGCCACCUGCAAAGCAAUCUAUGCCACCACCAUUUUGAUUGCAGUUUAAAGAUAAAUUUAUUUGGAAGGUAUUUUGUACUUUGUCACAAAAUACAUUUCACUGUAUUUUUGCCCAUAUCUCUGAUUUCCCCUCAUACAUCACUUGUUCAAGGAGAGCUACUGAUUUUAACAGAUUAAUCAGGGGUAACUGGUUUUCAGACCCUAAAUAUCUCUGGGGGCCACUAGUAUUUGACUUUAUUGCUGAAUAUUGGUGACUUGCUAUCAAUUGUCAAAAUAGCACAAAAGCUGUCUGCAAAAGAUGUGCGUGCUUAUGAUAUAUGCAAGUCAUCUGCCCCUGGUGAGCACAUUUAGGGUCUGAAAAUCAGUAUUUGCUGAUUAAUCAGUAAAAUCCCAUCCAUGUAGAUAUAGGAGGUGAUGGAUGAGGUGCUUCCCUGUUCUUUCCUCUGGCUUUGACACCUUUUCUGGCUGACACUCCUGCCCCACACUUCACUGCAGGAGGUGCUUCUGGAUGGAGUAGCUGCCACGUCACUGCACCCCCGUCCCCUCAUCCCACACCUCUCUGACUGGGGUAGGAACCAAGAUGGGGGUGAACUUCUGAUUGCCUGUCACUGGUGGUUAACCCAACCCGGUUAAAUAUUUGUGGACUAUAGGCUGGUUAUCUUGGCGAGAUGUAACAGACAGACCCAGAGAGCCAUUGGAUUUUUGUGCUUACCACUAUCAAGCAUAUAGAAAAAGCAAAUCCAUGAUUAAGAAGUUACAAUAAUUAAUCCCUUUCACACUGAAAUAUGCACGUGUGAGUCUCCUUAAAGGUCACAAUUAUGCAUAUGCCGGGUUUGGGUUUCCCUGGUAGUGUAUGGAGAUCUUGUUCUUUGAUCAGCAAUGGUCUAGCUGCUAUUGCUGUGACUGUGCUGCUUAGCUGGUGGACUGCAGAAUGAACAGCUGUACGCAUUUGGGAGUGUGUGCCCUCCAGAGUUGAUGGAGGGCAUUGCAGGGAUGGGAUAGGCUUUUUUUAAAGGCCAUGCCAAACACAAACUGUGGUAAGCGCCAUGCCAUGAGCUCAGGGUGAAGUGCUGCAAUGAGGAACUUGGUAGUGUAUUUUUCCAGCAUGUCAUAUGUCAUGGCUUCCAAAAAAUGAAAAACUGUUUUUUCUUGUCUGUGACAACUCAUGCUGAAUACAACCUCUAAAUUAGACUUGUCUGUGAAGGUAUUGUAAUAUCUUUUGUUUUACAAUCAAUCAAUUUUUCACACUCUUUUCCAACGCAACUUAUGAGAGUGAAUUGUUGGAUCAUAAAGCGAUUCGGCAUGGGCUUAUUUAUAUUUUGAAUAAUUUUACAUUGAUUCACAAACACUGAUUUGUACUUGAAGCACUGAUUUGUAUCACAGACCUAUAUCACAGUUUCUAAAAUGCAACAUACAGAUGGCUAUUGUAACUGAUAUCUCUGUGUGGCUAUUUUUGACCUUUCAUGCUUGAUGUUGACCUUCAUGCUUAACCCUUUCAUGGAACGUGUGUUAAAUCAACAAAAUGUGUUAAAUCAACUCUAGCAGCGUUACAUAAAUUCUAACAGGGUACAUGAGGGACAAUAUGUACUCUAUUACAGUUAAAAUUACUAUAUCAGAGUUCAUUUUACACUGACAAUUCUGUGUGGACUGGUGACUAUAGUGGGGUUACUGUCGGCACAGCUGUAGACAUUUAAGAAGAUUCCUAGAGGUGAGGCAACACUUUAAUCAGUUUUACCAUGCAACCUGAGACACAUUAGGAGGAAAUUUGUAUCUUAGGAAGUCAAGAUUUUCUGGAGAAAGUGAUCUUGUCAUUACUGGGUGAAGCAUGUUAGAUGGCUGCGUGUUGAGUCGGGGGGAGGGCUACAGAUAUUUCUCCAACAGCAGGAAUACAAGAUGCUCAGAGGGCCCCCAGGGGAACAGGCUGAGGAAUGAUGUAAUACAGCUGGUUUAUCUGUGGGCCUGACCACUGUGAGCCUAGAGACCUACAGAUGCUCAAGAUCUCUGCGUGGUUGUGAGAAACUGGAUACUUCCCACUACUUAUCUAAUUCCAGAGAAUCAUGCAAUGAAAAUGCAGCUUCCAGCACAAAACCCAGCUGUUUAUAGGUUUUGACACUGUAGUGUUUCGUUUUGUGCUCACAAAAUGGAUAUAUGAACACCACACACACCACUGGCACUACAACACAAAGACAGACUUUGAGAGAAAAGACUGCUUGUGGUGAAGGGGUUUGUUUGGUUUUACGCUCUUUCUGAUGUGUUGAUGUGUUUGCAUCUACCCAUGUAAGAUGAUCCAGAAGGUGGGCACACACUAAAGUGGGAAACAAAAGACAUUGGCAGUCGUUGUGUUGUAGAACGUGUGUGUGCUUGUAUGUGACUAUGGCUGAGUGUGUGUGUGUGUGUGUGUGUAUUUGUCUGUGAUGCUGAGCAUGUGUGUGUCUGCAUAUGUGUGUGUUUGUGUGUGUGUGAAUGACCAUAUAUGUGUGAGCAUGUGGGAAUGUGUGUGUGUCUUAACCUACUCCAACAUCAGCUGUCCACUAGUCAAGUGAUUUAGCACAAGACACAGGACUUCCCCCAUCUGGACUGCAGACAGUUAUUGGUUAAUCCUGUCAAGGAUCCAACCGAAACCAGAAUCUUGGGGUUGGGGGGGAAUUGCAGGUGUUCAGGACUCUCUCUUUCCCAAUACCAAACUUUCCCUUCUUCUUUCUCUUCUGUUGUGAUGAAUUCCUGAAGAAUGUAAACAAGGCCACAGGAUCCCCCUGACAAACGCUUUACCAAAUCUCUCCCUCCCCCUUUCGUUGGGUCAGUCUCCUUCGGGAGGUGCGGAAAGGACAUGUAGGGUCCGGACAGCACAGGUGCAGCUCAGGGGCAGUGGAGGCAACAGCUUCCCCCUACUUUGAACCUGAGCCUCAAAGCAUCACUAGUUUCCUGUCACUCAGGAAUACCUGAGCCUGCCAGCACUGGUCAGCUUAACACAAGCCCUACAAAGCCUUCGGUUUGCAGCACAAAAGGGAGAGGGGAGGAUCUGCCGUUUGCAAGAGGUGUUGAGACUCAGGGUUCUCCUGGGUUUCAGCUCAGCUUCAGUUUCAUACAACAUGUUUAAAUGAUCCUGGUGAAAAAAUAAAUAUAUUAAAACGCAAUUUUAAAUUGGAAGAAAACCUUUUAAAAUAUAGUACAAUAUAUUUAUUUAUUUAUGAAAUGUUAAUGUUUUUCCUGCAUAUAAACUGUUUUGUUUAAUUUGUUUAAACAUUUAGUGGCCCCUUUAUAAAGUACACCAGCUCAUCCAAACAGCAAAUCAUGUGGCUGUAAAUCAGUAUAUAAAGCAGGGCUACUCAUCGCUAGGUGAUACAGGCUGCAGCAUCUGCAAGUAUUUGCUCCAAUUAUGCACCACCUGAUUUCACUAAUGAGCUUAUUUCCUGAACCAAGGAGGUAAAAUAAUUAGUGAAGUCAGGUGGUGUAGUACAUUGUUGGAGUGAAUACCUGCAGACACUGUGGCGUGCAGGACCUGGAGCUGAGUAGCUCCAUAUAUAUGAACGCACAAUGUGUUGAACCUUGAAUCGGAUAGGUUACAGCAGCAGAAGGCUUUUCCACUGCUGUUAGCUAAGAACAGGAAGAUGAGACUACAGUGGGCACGUAAUCACCAAAAUUAGGCAAUUGAAGACAUUGGAAAAACAUUGCCUGGUCUGACGAAUCUCGAUUUCUGCUGUGAAAUGCAGAUGGGCUUGGAAGAGUGGGAGACGCUACGCUGAGAUGCACACUGAGGAAAAGUAUCAGGUUGGAGGAUAUCAGUCCUUUUGCAGCGCCUUCUAUGGCAAGGACAGUGCAGAAAUAUUUUCAUGGUUCUGCCAAGAAAACGAGCCGUUCCCACACUCCACAACCCACUGAACAUCCAGGAGGGGAAAAAUUUACAUUUUAAUUCCAGUAAAAGAAAGUCGUCCAUUUAACACAGGCCUCUCUGUCACUUUGAGUUAAGUGGUCUGGUUAUUUUCCAGCAAGGGAAAAGAUAUCAUUCUCACCAAACACUGAUCUUACCGAAUAUCUCAUCAGAUUAGUUCAAUAGGCAAACUUUCUCAAGAGUGAAGAAAACAAAUGACUGCCAAAUACAGGCCAUAGUCUGAGGCUGUGAAGUAUUAUUACAAGCUCUAGACUUAAUUUCCUCUGAGACCUUUCUGCUAUUUUCACAUUCUAGGGCACUUCUCACAUCUAACUGCCACACAGCAGCACCCAAGCCAUCCCUAAUCAUACUACCUCUUGAAAACCUCCAGCCUUUUGCCACAGCAAAACACCCAAACAAAUGCAGUGUCUGCAUGGACAAUGUCAUUUAAAAAAGGAAAUUUUGGUGGUACCAAUGUUUGAAUUUUAAGCAAUCUGCAUGGCGGUGAGUACAUGGUGUUCUACUUGUUCUUAAACUCCUCCUCUUGUAGUUGACCUUUAUUAAUUAUUGCUAAAUUGCACUUGUUUAAUUGUUAAAUUAAUGUAGCACCAGCACACACACAGGUGUGUAGGUGUGCACAUAUCCAGUUCCUUUUUUAUUUUAUUGUAAUUAGCUUAGGUAAAGGUGGCCCUGUGUCUGGAUAAUAGGCACGUCCCUCCCCGUAGAUUUAUAUGUGGUGGUGUCCAUAAAUGGGGUCUGUUCGGGCUGAUAUGUUGUAUUUAUGUGUACAGAGUGUGAAUUAUGUUAAAAGAAUUUUGAUGUUUGUGAUUUUGUCACUCAUUGCUGUGUGUUAAGCUUGCGUAGUUGUGCCAUCAUUAACUUACAGUAGAACAAGCCUUCUUAACUAUGGUACUGUAGCAUUUCCAGUGUUUACAAUAAUCAUAUCAUUCUGUAUUAUUUGUUUUAUCGAAAACUGUAUUCAAGCACAUUUUUAUAAUUUUGGUGCAGGAUUAUAAUUCUGGAUAGUC
This is a long non-coding RNA of Anguilla rostrata (American eel), 5149 nucleotides long. RefSeq lists it as uncharacterized. The record is from RefSeq and is a predicted model, not a curated record. The transcript is spliced from 2 exons. NCBI's taxonomy places the organism in Eukaryota, Metazoa, Chordata, Actinopteri, Anguilliformes, Anguillidae.